UGGAAUACCCCAAGGAUUUGUGCUUGGUUCUAUGCUAUGAUAAGUUUUGAAAUGAAGGUGGAAAGACUAGGAACAGAGAAACAUGAAGGAACUGUAAUAUAGAUUUGUGAGAAAGGAAAAAAGGAAAGAAAAUGAUAAUUUAAAGGAGUAAUUACUCAAUGGAAUCUUGCUAUUCAUAUAAGACCAGUACACAACAAGAAGAUUAUACAAUGAUCAAUUCUGAUGGAUGUGGCUUUUUCCAACAAUGAGAUGAUUCAGAUCAGUUCCAAUAAUCUUGUGAUAAAGAGAGCCAUCUAUACCCAGAGAGAGGAUUAUGGGAAGACAGGACUGUGUGGACCACAACAUAGCAUUUUCACUCUUUCUGUUGUUGUUUGCUUGAAUUUUGUUUUCUUUCUCUGUUGGAAUCCUUACUAACUGCUAAGUAAUUAGAGUUGAUCUAAUCUUACAAGAAGUUGUUUUGGCCAGAACCUGAAACAAGGUACUAAGUAGAACUAAUCAAGACAAGGCUUGUGUUCCCACCUUUACUCAAGGGAGUCCACACCUUAAAGCUCUUUGGGCCAGAGAGCACUAUGGGAGAAAACCCAUAAUCCCAUUCUCUCAGAAGGUUCACAUAUAAGGCGAGACAGCCAUUCCAGAAUACAUUUUUUCCUCUUGGCUGGCUGAUCGCGCUGGACUCGAAAGGAACGACUCUUGUGCAGAGAACACUUUAACGGAUUUCAGUGGAGCUACACCAGAUGCCCUCUCUCCGCGGCAAGUUGGUGGCUGGGCUCCCCAGAAGGAGAUAAGAGAGACCUUCCAUCUCUGUCUUGGUUGGAGGCAGAAGAAAGCAGAGUCAGAGGCUGAAGGACAGAACCUUUGGAUUUGGAGACAUCCGAAGGGCUCCAAGCCUCUAAACCGGCUGUGCUUUGAGAAGAACAAACUCCAACAUUUGAACUCUAACAUUUCUCAGCUUUUUUUCCCUUUUUGAUCUGAUUUUUCUCAUGCAACAAGAUAAUUGUAUAAAUAUGUAUACAUAUAUUGGAUUUACCAUAUAUUUUAACAUAUUUAACAUGUAUUGGAUUACCUGCCAUCUAGGAGAGGGAUGGGGUAAAGGAGGGGAAAAUUUGGAAUACAAAGUUUUGCAAGGAUCGAUGUUGAAAAAUUAUCCAUACAUAUGUUUUGUAAAUAAAAAAAACUUUAAUAAAAAAGAAAUCAUUCCUAAA
Molecule: long non-coding RNA, 1202 nt
Organism: Antechinus flavipes (yellow-footed antechinus)
Lineage: Eukaryota; Metazoa; Chordata; Mammalia; Dasyuromorphia; Dasyuridae
Exons: 2
Source: RefSeq, a predicted model, not a curated record